This 254-nucleotide ribosomal RNA is filed under the name uncultured bacterium. RNAcentral describes it as "partial 16S ribosomal RNA". It matches the Rfam family "Bacterial small subunit ribosomal RNA", at positions 524 to 776 of the family's 1533-position model. The record is from RNAcentral.
UACGGGGGGAGCAAGCGUUGUUCGGAUUUACUGGGCGUAAAGGGCGCGUAGGCAGCCACCGCAAGUCGACUGUGAAAUCUCCGGGCUUAACCCGGAAAGGUCAGCCGAUACUGCGGGGCUAGAGUGCAGAAGGGGCAACUGGAAUUCUCGGUGUAGCGGUGAAAUGCGUAGAUAUCGAGAGGAACACCUGCGGCGAAGGCGGGUUGCUGGGCUGACACUGACGCUGAGGCGCGAAAGCUAGGGGAGCGAACGGG